GAUGAACGCUGGCGGCGUGCCUAAUACAUGCAAGUCGAGCGAACAGAUAAGGAGCUUGCUCCUUUGACGUUAGCGGCGGACGGGUGAGUAACACGUGGGUAACCUACCUAUAAGACUGGGAUAACUUCGGGAAACCGGAGCUAAUACCGGAUAAUAUUUCGAACCGCAUGGUUCGAUAGUGGAAGAUGGUUUUGCUAUCACUUAUAGAUGGACCCGCGCCGUAUUAGCUAGUUGGUAAGGUAACGGCUUACCAAGGCGACGAUACGUAGCCGACCUGAGAGGGUGAUCGGCCACACUGGAACUGAGACACGGUCCAGACUCCUACGGGAGGCAGCAGUAGGGAAUCUUCCGCAAUGGGCGAAAGCCUGACGGAGCAACGCCGCGUGAGUGAUGAAGGUCUUCGGAUCGUAAAACUCUGUUAUUAGGGAAGAACAUAUGUGUAAGUAACUGUGCACGUCUUGACGGUACCUAAUCAGAAAGCCACGGCUAACUACGUG
This 497-nucleotide ribosomal RNA is filed under the name uncultured bacterium. Its description in RNAcentral is "partial 16S ribosomal RNA". It matches the Rfam family "Bacterial small subunit ribosomal RNA", at positions 28 to 507 of the family's 1533-position model. The record is from RNAcentral.